Molecule: RNA transcript, 3570 nt
Organism: Megalobrama amblycephala (Wuchang bream)
Lineage: Eukaryota; Metazoa; Chordata; Actinopteri; Cypriniformes; Xenocyprididae
Exons: 7
Source: RefSeq, a predicted model, not a curated record
CAAAACUGUAUCAAAAGACAAUCAGUUGAACCAAUUAACUAAUUUGGAAUUAAAUGUACACAGACUCACACCGAGUUUCAAACCAUCACUUUGAAUAUACAGUUGUUAAGCGUGCUGGAUAACAACGUAAAUGACGAUUAAACACUGUGGGCCCACAUAAGAUUUUAAGAUUUGUAAACUUGUAAAUCAUUCACCACUCCAUUACCGCAUACAGCGCGUCUCUCUCAUAGCUUGCAUAUCGCCCGCCUUGUCAAUCAACCCCCACAAACAGCCACUCAAAAUACAUAACGCAUAGGCGCGGGCGGGACUUAACUCUCUUGAGCCAAUAAAAUAAUGAAAGACCUAACUUUCGUAGGUUAAAACCACAUUUUUCACAUGUGCAUAACACUCUAACUUGAUAUAUGUUCUUAAAGGCAUACAUCCACUUAUUUUAUAUAUCAAUAUAUAAAGAAGUAAACUCAUUACCUGUAGAAUAGUUCUGCUGGGUUACAUAUAAAUGUUUACACAACAUACAGUAUAAAUGUAAAAGUACAUAUAUUAUAAACAGUCUCAUCAUGUCUGACGUGUCUUUCUCUGUCCUUCUAGAUGGCAGUUUUCUUUGGUCAUUCAGUAGCAUUAGUUAUGGUAAUGUCACAUUAAGGACAGGUGAGUGAUGCUCUAUACUCUGUUAAAUGUUUUCUUCACUGAAGGGAGGUUGAUGAUUUCUACACACAGAGACAAGUUUCCUCUUCUAAACUCAUUGACAGCCUAUUCAUUGAACAUUCUAUUCAUGACUGGUUGAUCACAAUUCUGGAAAGUUGCAGGUCGAUAUCAUGUUCAAAACUGAGAGCUGAAUCAACAUUGUGUGUCAAGAUCACAGACAUUCAAUCAAAAAUUUUAAUUCUGUCCUUUUACAGAGGUUUAGAACAAGAAGCGAUUUAUCUUAUAUUACACACAUAAUAUAAUAUAUGUAAUUACUGGUAUUCAAAUUUGGUGGCUGAAGAAAGAAUGCAGCCUUGUCGUAUACCUUUACUAAUUUGAACCCAUUCUACACACUGCAGCCAUGGAUGAAGACAGGCUCUUCCUGCUGACACAGAGGAGCCAGACGCACGUUCACUAACGACACUGAGGCUGCUGGACAGAUGUCGGGAAAGACAGCAGCGUUCUUCAAGUAGCACUUUUCCAAACCAUUGGGUCUUUGAGCUUUAGAGAUGCAGCUGUAAGUGUGAUCCAAACUGAUUAAGUUACAGCUGCCAGCUGUGAAAGCUCACAGGAGUCUGGAAUGAAAGAGACGCCCUCCACCAAGAAUCCCCUCAGACACCAAGGAUGAACAGAAACUUGAGGUCAUCAGCAACAUGAAGAAACUCAAAGUUGUGAACAAGAAACAUUGAGCGUUUGGAAAGAAGAAAGCAAAGACACAUUGAAGGUCAUGACACCAUCCUGUUUUGGAGUAUUCAAUCUCCACUCUCUGGUUGUUUUGGAGAGCCACACAUAAUGAGCUCGGUUGUACUGUACAUCGGCAUGACUGCACUUAACUGGAUCCAAGGGCAGCUUGAAGGAUCCGCCUCCAGAGGAAGAAACAGCCCUGAGGUAAAACAGAUGCAGAGGGGGCUGGUCAUCCAUCCUGCAGCAGGCAGGCUCCCAUCGAGCUGUUCUCAUCUCCAGGUGAACGCUAUAGUGGAGCUGAUAGUGCCUCAGACACAGUCAAGGACUCUGCUGGCCUUGCACUUAUCUCAAGUUGCUAUUCAGGAGAAGUGCUUGUGUGCAGUGAUACACGUAGAACAAAGACAAGAGUCGACCAGGUCAAAAGCAUAUAACAUUUUGAAUCUGUCUGAGACUCUUCUCCAGAGUGGAAGUGCUAUACUUGGCUUGCAGGAUAACCGACGAUUAAAACAAGUAAAAAGAAGAAACAGAGACCAACCAGCUGUGCAUCUCCUCCUCGAACAAAGGACUUUGGUGGAGUAUUGGGUUGAGUGCUCCUGCACAGCACUUCCCCUCUCACAGUCUGUGAGCCAGAGGCAGCCACCGAAUCCAUCCUGGAGCCAUGAUAUCAGUCCCAGAGUCUACCCAUGCUGCCCAGUCUAUCCCAGAGCCAGGAGAGGACCACUGAUAUUGCUCAUUGUUAGUUUAUGUUAUCCAAUUAACUAUUGUAAGUAAUCUUAUUAUAAAGUGUUACUGAACUACUUCUGCCAGUGUUUUUUUCUUUUUUUUAUUGGCCAGCUAGUGGAUUGUCAGAUCAUUUUUUUUUAAUACUUUCAUAUUCUGUAAAUACUUUGAGUGAGACUUGAAUGUCGUUCAAUCAGUGCCCACUUGAAUAAGCACUGCCAUUUUGUAACUAUUUUGAGGUAUCAAUCUAUAUAGUGCGGCUCAGAAAAAGACCCAGAAGCCUGCUUCAUAUCUGUGCUGAUGGAUGCCUCUAAACCAGAGACAAAUGAAAGGAUGACUUGUGUUUUAAUGUGCAGAGAUAUAUGGGAGCUCUGGGAGAGCGAGAGACGGAGACAAAGCAGCAGUCUUCUUGAAGGCAAUGUCACCAUGGUUAAUGCACAUUAGUACGCCAACCGACAAAGCCUCUGACAUUCAUUGAUAAGGCACAGAUGCCUGAGGGAAACUGAUGGAAUGUGAAUGUGUCUAAAAUUGAACCGAGGGUUAUGGCGUGUAUCUUGGCAGAAAAACUUUUUUCUCAUCUUGAGUGAAGGACACAGUCAACCCACCCAUAGUAAUGCCUCCUACUAAAAUCAAAAGCAUUGGCUGAAUGACUGUGGCAGGACGAAAGACAGGAAGUGUCAUGCACAUUUUUGAGCCAAGUGUAUUUUAAAUGCAACUUCUGAAAUAUAUAUAUAUUACCAUUAGUCAGGUUUUAUGAUUACAUUUGCAUGUUUAAAUCUUAUAAACAUUGUGGCAGAAAUUACUUAUUCUCAUUCUCAUGACUGCCCUCAUGACUUUUUUAAAUUGAAAUUAAUUAUUAGAUCCUUUCAUAUGGAACUCAAUGCUGUGUCAGUUGCUGACGCUACGGGAAUGCAUUCAGUGUGUGCCAGUGUCUGAAUCACGUGUGAAAUUACAUCAAUUGAAUUGGCUAUAGCAGUCGCAUGACAUCGCUGGCACACCAGCAUGUCUAUAAAAGAGUGUCUGCAUAAAACAUAAUCAGAUUCUUUGUCUUCAGGAAGCCGCUUUGUUUGUUGUUUUCGUGUGAAAAGAUAGGAAUUUUUUUGUUUGUCUUUAGAAUUCAAAUAUAUGAUUGCAAGCAGUAAAAGUAAAGUUUUUAGAACUUGUGCUUCGCCAUGUCCCCAUUUUAUUAUGGGAGAUGACACACACAAGCUCUGUGUCAUUUGUUUGGGAACAAAGCAUGCUCGGUCAUCUGGUUGCACUCUCUGUGAUUGCAUAACAUUGAAGAAGCUCCGCUCCCACCUGGCUCUCUUCAUGGGGAAUGGUAGUUGCACCUCACGACUUGUGGGUUAAGCUCAUGACCCGCUCCACAACUAGACUCAGUCUAGACUAGACUAAGUCACUCCAACUAGACUCAAUGAGCGUUUCCUGGCAGGUAAUUGACACUUUGCCCUCGUGAGCUGUGGUAAGUUCUGUGCCUCUAUAGGU